UGGGGAAUUUUGCACAAUGGGGGAAACCCUGAUGCAGCGACGCCGCGUGAUUUAGAAGGCCUUCGGGUUGUAAAAAUCUUUUGUAUAGGAAGAAAAUGACAGUACUAUACGAAUAAGGACCGGCUAAUUACGUGCCAGCAGCCGCGGUAAUACGUAAGGUCCGAGCGUUGUCCGGAAUCAUUGGGCGUAAAGGGUACGUAGGCGGGUAAGCAAGUUAGAAGUGAAAUCCUAUAGCUCAACUAUAGUAAGCUUUUAAAACUGCUCAUCUUGAGGUAUGGAGGGGAAAGUGGAAUUCCUAGUGUAGCGGUGAAAUGCGCAGAUAUUAGGAGGAAUACCGGUGGCGAGGGCGACUUUCUGGCCAUAACCUGACGCUGAGGUACGAGAGCGUGGGUAGCAAACAGG
Molecule: ribosomal RNA, 402 nt
Filed under: Bacteroidota bacterium
Lineage: Bacteria; Pseudomonadati; Bacteroidota
Description: Bacteroidetes bacterium partial 16S ribosomal RNA
Rfam family: Bacterial small subunit ribosomal RNA
Source: RNAcentral